UAGAUAGUGAUGAAGCAAAGAUUAUAAUCCAACACUUGAUCUGAGAUAACAAAGUGAUUGUAAACCUUCCUUUUUGCUUCUGAAUCUAC
Molecule: non-coding RNA, 89 nt
Organism: Cajanus cajan (pigeon pea)
Lineage: Eukaryota; Viridiplantae; Streptophyta; Magnoliopsida; Fabales; Fabaceae
Source: Rfam